Molecule: ribosomal RNA, 408 nt
Filed under: uncultured bacterium
Lineage: Bacteria
Description: partial 16S ribosomal RNA
Rfam family: Bacterial small subunit ribosomal RNA
Source: RNAcentral
GACGAACGCUGGCGGCGUGCUUAACACAUGCAAGUCGAACGAAGUGGCGAACGGGUGAGUAAUAUGUGGGUAACCUGCCCUCCUUUUUGGGAUUAGCUUUUGAAACGGGGUCUAAUACCGACUAAAGGGUGAUGGGCUCGCGGCCUAUCAGCUUGUUGGUGGGGUGAUGGCCUACCAAGGCGGUGCCGGGUAGCCGGCCUGAGAGGGUGACCGGCCACAUUGGGACUGAGAUACGGCCCAGACUCCUACGGGAGGCAGCAGUGGGGGAUAUUGCACAAUGGGCGAAAGCCUGAUGCAGCGACGCCGCGUGUAUGAAGAAGGCCUUCGGGUUGUAAAGUACCAUCGAAAGGGGUCCGUUACCGACAGAAGAAGCACCGGCUAACUCCGUGCCAGCAGCCGCGGUAAUAC